GACGAACGCUGGCGGCGUGCUUAACACAUGCAAGUCGAACGGAAAGGCCUGCUUUCCCUUGUGGAUUGCGGGUACUCGAGUGGCGAACGGGUGAGUAACACGUGAGUGAUCUGCCCCCAACUUGGGUAUAAGCCUGGGAAACUGGGUCUAAUUCCCGAUAGGACUGCAGGGUGGUGCCUGUGGUGGAAAACGAUGUUCUAGUGGUUGGGGAUGAGCUCGCGGCCUAUCAGCUUGUUGGUGGGGUAAUGGCCUACCAAGGCGGCGACGGGUAGCCGGCCUGAGAGGGUGGACGGCCACAUUGGGACUGAGAUACGGCCCAGACUCCUACGGGAGGCAGCAGUGGGGAAUAUUGCACAAUGGGCGGAAGCCUGAUGCAGCGACGCCGCGUGGGGGAUGACGGCCUUCGGGUUGUAAACUCCUUUCGACCGCGAGGAAGCCACCUGGUUGGAAGGGUGGUGACGGUAGUGGUAGAAGAAGCACCGGCUAACUACGUG
This 494-nucleotide ribosomal RNA is filed under the name uncultured bacterium. RNAcentral describes it as "partial 16S ribosomal RNA". It matches the Rfam family "Bacterial small subunit ribosomal RNA", at positions 28 to 507 of the family's 1533-position model. The record is from RNAcentral.